Molecule: ribosomal RNA, 301 nt
Filed under: uncultured bacterium
Lineage: Bacteria
Description: partial 16S ribosomal RNA
Rfam family: Bacterial small subunit ribosomal RNA
Source: RNAcentral
CAGCAGCCGCGGGAAUACGAAGGGUGCAAGCGUUACUCGGAAUUACUGGGCGUAAAGCGUGCGUAGGUGGUGGUUUAAGUCCGUUGUGAAAGCCCUGGGCUCAACCUGGGAAUUGCAGUGGAUACUGGGUCACUAGAGUGUGGUAGAGGAUAGUGGAAUUUCCGGUGUAGCAGUAAAAUGCGUAGAGAUCGGAAGGAACAUCUGUGGCGAAGGCGACUAUCUGGGCCAACACUGACACUGAGGCACGAAAGCGUGGGGAGCAAACAGGAUUAGAUACCCGGGUAGUCCCUGUCUCUUAUAC